CAACACUUCCCCCCUUCACUUUGCCAUUAGAUGUCUGCUGUGUCACUGCCUAACACUUGAUCUGUAUUGUUCUUAUUUUCUUCCUGUGAUAAAGCUUCAAACACAAGAGCAAUAUCAGUUCCAUGCCGCCGAAGCCUGGGAGUUUUCUGGAAGGGAGAGCGUGAGGCUAUUACUCUUCCCAUGACAACAUUUGCUCCUGUGUUCUGAGGAAAAUGGCCUUCCUGAAAACGAUUUAUCUCAAGGUCACCACCUUAGAAGCAGAGACAGAAAAUGUACCCCUCUGUCUGCAGUGGUAAAACGGAAAUAAUAGGUCAUGGGAGGACCUCCUUCUGAGGAAUCUGUAGGCAGGGAGUCUCCUCUCCAUCUUGACACGAAUGUGCUCUGUGGGUCCUCAUAGACCCAGUGAGGACUCGGGGAGGUGAUACCUGAACAAGAGUGGCCAAGCUAGUCACUAACUAGAAAAGGAUCUGUAGCUUGGGCUUGUUUUAUACCAAGACUUUUAUGCACGCUUCCCUUCAAGGAAGUAUAGAACAAACAA
This 538-nucleotide long non-coding RNA is filed under the name Mus pahari (shrew mouse). RNAcentral's name for it is "predicted gene, 32652 (MGP_PahariEiJ_G0003681.1)". The record is from RNAcentral. Lineage: Eukaryota; Metazoa; Chordata; Mammalia; Rodentia; Muridae.